CACUCCGAGGUGCAUAGUACCCGGUCAAGGUGCACGAGCGUCGGCGGCGAUUGCUCGUUGGACCAAGUAAAGCGGCGCCCGUUGAGGUAGACUUCCUUCAAGGCAAGGUCGUUGAUGGCACGCCGGAAUCUGCCCAUCAUGCGGCGAUUCAGGUUGCCCGAACUCUUGUCAGCAUCCCGGUAGAUGAGGUUGAAAUCGCCC
Molecule: long non-coding RNA, 201 nt
Filed under: Hordeum vulgare
Lineage: Eukaryota; Viridiplantae; Streptophyta; Magnoliopsida; Poales; Poaceae
Description: long non-coding RNA (HVUL_LNC004824)
Source: RNAcentral